This 1114-nucleotide long non-coding RNA is filed under the name Callithrix jacchus (white-tufted-ear marmoset). RNAcentral describes it as "lncRNA (ENSCJAG00000072995.1)". The record is from RNAcentral. Lineage: Eukaryota; Metazoa; Chordata; Mammalia; Primates; Cebidae.
GUGAAGUCCAACAGCAUGGUGCCAGCAUCUGCCCAGGUGUCCUGUGAGGGCAUUCUUGUGGCAUCAUUGCAUGGUGGAAGGUGGAAAGGCAAAAGCAAGACAUGAGACAGAGAGAGCAAGAGGGCACUGCUUUUGUUACAAGCCCACUCUCACAGUCACUAACCCAAGCCCGUGAUUGAAUCAUUCAUGAGAGUUUGGCUCUCAUGACCUAAUCACCUCUUAAAGACCACAAUUGUCAAUCCUGUUGUAUUGGGGAUUACGUUUUCAACACAUUAACUUCUAGGAAACCUAAAAGAUGAAACCACGGCAAUCAUCCUAUAUAGUCCUUUAAAUAUGCUGCCAAAUUCUAUUUACCAGUGUUUUGUUGAGAUUGUUUUUGCUUCUCUUCAUAAGGCUCCUUUCCCUUAAAUUUCUCCUUAUUAUUCUCCAUAAAAAUAAUACAUAUUUUAUCUUUUGUACCUCAUCAAUAGUCUUAUAAUUAUUACUUUAUCUAAUUGUUUUCAAAUCAAAUAAGAGAGAUAAUGUCAUUAACAAAAUAAUACACUUAUAUUGUCUUUUAUACUUAACUAUGCAAUUCCUUUCAUCAGUGCCCUUUGUUUCUUGAUGCAGUUUUGAGUUACUGUCUAGGGUCAUUUUAUUUCUGCCUUAAGAGCUGCCUUUACUAUUACUUGCAAGACGAAUAAAAUGACUAAUUAUUUCCAUUUUGUUUUUUUUUUUUUGUUUUUGCUUUUAUCUUGCAAUGUGUUUUCUCCUUCAUUUGUGAAGACGUGGUGUGCACAGAGAAUUAUCGGUUAAUGGCCUCAUUCUGCCCUUUGAAUCCAUCAUCCUAUUGAGCUCUGGACACCAUCGUUUCUGAAGAUAAAUAAACUGUAACCUCAUUGAAGCUUCCUCAUAUGCACAGAGGCUGCACGGAGUAUCAUACCAUUUAUAUGAGACCAAAGGUGCAAGAACCAAACAGUAUAAUGUGUAAGGAUGUGUUCCAUGAUAAAGCUAAAGAAUACCAAAAAGAAGCAAAAAAUCCAAGAUAGCGCUAUCUUCUCCAGCUAGGACAAGAGAACAGGAUUUGAAAAGGGGCAUGUGGAUGGCUUAGUGGUAACACAAAUAUUUUAUUUCU